GAUGAACGCUGGCGGCGUGCCUAAUACAUGCAAGUCGAGCGAACAGACGAGGAGCUUGCUCCUCUGACGUUAGCGGCGGACGGGUGAGUAACACGUGGAUAACCUACCUAUAAGACGGGGAUAACUUCGGGAAACCGGAGCUAAUACCGGAUAAUAUAUUGAACCGCAUGGUUCAAUAGUGAAAGACGGUUUUGCUGUCACUUAUAGAUGGAUCCGCGCCGCAUUAGCUAGUUGGUAAGGUAACGGCUUACCAAGGCGACGAUGCGUAGCCGACCUGAGAGGGUGAUCGGCCACACUGGAACUGAGACACGGUCCAGACUCCUACGGGAGGCAGCAGUAGGGAAUCUUCCGCAAUGGGCGAAAGCCUGACGGAGCAACGCCGCGUGAGUGAUGAAGGUCUUCGGAUCGUAAAACUCUGUUAUUAGGGAAGAACAAAUGUGUAAGUAACUAUGCACGUCUUGACGGUACCUAAUCAGAAAGCCACGGCUAACUACGUG
Molecule: ribosomal RNA, 497 nt
Filed under: uncultured bacterium
Lineage: Bacteria
Description: partial 16S ribosomal RNA
Rfam family: Bacterial small subunit ribosomal RNA
Source: RNAcentral